AAAAGAUUGAAGCUGCUAAGAGUGCUAGUGAUCUGGUCUGGCACAUGCUAAUGCUUCUACAGUAUCUCACAUCACCAAAGGAACUUCGUUGUUUUACAUGGAUAUGUUUUCUUUUGUUGAUAGGGGCUUGUGAAGGAAUUUUGUUUAUUUUGUUGUGUAAUACUGUUUGCUUUGCCUUGAUAUUUGCUUGUGGUCAUGUCUAAUUUUG
This 208-nucleotide unclassified non-coding RNA is filed under the name Hevea brasiliensis (rubber tree). The record is from RNAcentral. Lineage: Eukaryota; Viridiplantae; Streptophyta; Magnoliopsida; Malpighiales; Euphorbiaceae.